UGUCCAGACUCCUACGGGAGGCAGCAGUGAGGAAUAUUGGUCAAUGGCCGGAAGGCUGAACCAGCCGAGCCGCGUGAGGGAGGAAGGCGCAGAGCGUCGCAGACCUCUUUUGCCAGGGACAAAAGGCCGGACUCGUCCGGUCCUGAGGGUACCCGGAGAAAAAGCAUCGGCUAACUCCGUGCCAGCAGCCGCGGUAAUACGGAGGAUGCGAGCGUUAUCCGGAUUCAUUGGGUUUAAAGGGUGCGCAGGCGGGCCUUUAAGCCGGCGGUGAAAUGUCGGGGCUCAACCCCGGCCUGCCGUCGGAACUGGGUGCCUUGAGUGGGCGAGAAGUAUGCGGAAUGCGUGGUGUAGCGGUGAAAUGCAUAGAUAUCACGCAGAACCCCGAUUGCGAAGGCAGCAUACCGGCGCCCUACUGACGCUGAGGCACGAAAGUGCGGGUAUCGAACAGGAUUAGAUACCCUUGUA
Molecule: ribosomal RNA, 465 nt
Filed under: uncultured bacterium
Lineage: Bacteria
Description: bacterial SSU rRNA
Rfam family: Bacterial small subunit ribosomal RNA
Source: RNAcentral